CUAACCCUGGGGUGUUUGUCAGAGGACUAAGUCCCCGAGCCGAUAAGCAAUCCUUAAGGGUUAGUAUUUAGUCGCUAUUGAGCAUGCUCGGCUUGUACCGAGAAGCCUACGGUAACCAUUGCUGACCCGCCUUGAACGAACUGGUUCAAGGGUCAUUGUUCUCAACGGCAA
This 171-nucleotide non-coding RNA is filed under the name Escherichia coli. RNAcentral describes it as "partial 6S RNA". It matches the Rfam family "6S / SsrS RNA". Rfam says of the family: E. coli 6S RNA was the first non coding RNA to be sequenced, but its function was unknown until recently. It consists of 184 nucleotides that fold into an extended hairpin structure with a large single-stranded internal bulge. The record is from RNAcentral. Lineage: Bacteria; Pseudomonadati; Pseudomonadota; Gammaproteobacteria; Enterobacterales; Enterobacteriaceae.